Mustela lutreola (European mink) is the source of this 1106-nucleotide long non-coding RNA. RefSeq lists it as uncharacterized. NCBI's taxonomy places the organism in Eukaryota, Metazoa, Chordata, Mammalia, Carnivora, Mustelidae. The transcript is spliced from 2 exons. The record is from RefSeq and is a predicted model, not a curated record.
UUUCUUCCAGAACUUAGAGGCAAUUACUGCGGGGGUGGGCAGGGGCAGGGAAGUCUCCAUCCCAGUACUGUAUCUAUCCUUUCUGAAGCCAGAUGGCUACUAUGGAUGGAACAGGCAGUGCCAGAAAUUCUCAAUCCCGUCAGAACCCCUUUGUGAUAGUCUUUCUUCUGAUUUCGUACUUCCAUCAAGUCGUCGGUACUCAAGUCCAGCCGCCAUACAGUAUUGCUGCAGAACAUCAAGCAACUACAGAAAAGAUAUGAAGAAAGGCAAAGACAAAUUCAUGGUGUAAUAAGUUUCAUACAAUUAUAGAGAUAAGAUUUACUAAGUAUUAAUAAUUGCUGCUUACAAAUUCUUUCUUACAAUUAUAAGAGCAACAAAUAUUUUCCUAGCUUCUGGCUAAUGUAUUUCUUCCUAUUAUCCUGAAACUGACUCUAAAGUUCACCAAUGCUUGUCUUAAAAAAAAAAAGAAAAGAAAAAAAUCAACCUUUUAAGGAAAAAAAGAAAUCAAACUUUAUUUUUUUAAACUAAAACUAAAUAAAAAGAAAAGUAUUGGCCAAUUUAUGUAAAUAACUUUCAUUAUUUGUGCUAUUUUCCAGGUUCUAAAAUCUCUUAAGUGUCUUGAAUAUUUUAAUUAUAGCAAAAACAUAAACAGAGAAUUAAAAAUCUAUCUUUGAAUCUGCUAUUUGACAAUAACCUUGGUAUCUUUGAGAUUUAAGCGUCUUCUGUUUUAAAAGUUGCUUAUCUCACUAUAGUAUGUAUAGGAGAGAAAAUGUGGCUGGACACAUAUGUCUCUUAGGCUUUGUGCCUCAGAGUUAGUGCUGGGCCAAUCAAGAAUAUACUUCAGAAGAAACUCACCUUGGUGGAAAAGGAGAAAAGAAGUAUUUUAUCUUUGUUUUUCCUGCAAUGAUUUAAAAGCUGCUGAAGGACCUGGAAAUGAACCACAGAAAUCAACCACCAGUGAAACAGUUCCAACUAAAAGCACACUUUAUACAUAUAAACAUCACUUGAGUUUUUCUUAAAAGUUAUUUUUAUACAAUAUAACCUCACUCCUCUUUCCUAAUUCCCUUCAUUUUUGCCAACUUAGAGAAAUAAAGUAUUAGAUAUUA